RNAcentral lists this unclassified non-coding RNA (450 nucleotides) under Hevea brasiliensis (rubber tree). The record is from RNAcentral. Lineage: Eukaryota; Viridiplantae; Streptophyta; Magnoliopsida; Malpighiales; Euphorbiaceae.
GUGAUUACUUGACUAACAAAUGUGCUGCAAACAAUGCAUGCAAAGUUUAGUAUUCCACAGCAAAUACAAUAUAAAACGACACGAUAAAAAAAUUCCAAAAAAAUUCUGAUUGAUUGUUAACAACUUGCCAUGCUGCUGGUGUUAGAACAACAAUACUCUCCCAAGCCAGGGGGAGAAAAGUUAAAAAGAAACCAUGCUGUUCCUAUAUGUCUUCAAGCUAUUCUAAUUAUGCAUCAUUUGACAUUAUUAAUCUGGUUAGAGGAAUUCACAAUGGCUUCCUACUUUGAACAAAAGAAUGCCAAGUGAUAUGAAACAAAGAACCUAUCAAAGUUAAUAAGAAGUGAACUCAAGGUAGCACACUGAUAAAAAGUGGUACCACAUGGCAACCAUUGUCACAUUAGACAAUCAGAAAGUGCAGCAUGUCAAAAACUAAGAGUUCACCAAACAGCA